Molecule: long non-coding RNA, 367 nt
Organism: Mobula hypostoma (lesser devil ray)
Lineage: Eukaryota; Metazoa; Chordata; Chondrichthyes; Myliobatiformes; Myliobatidae
Exons: 3
Source: RefSeq, a predicted model, not a curated record
AUUUUAACAAACACGAAGGUCUCGCUCCAAGUAACGAUAGGAACAUGAUUUUAAGCAAGGUGGGACAGCGGAAACCGGAUUGGUUGAGGACUAACCAAUCAGGAGGGAGGGACAACGGGAGCAUUUGCAAGAUACCUUAUUUUGUUUUACGAGAUACCAGUUAAUCUUGAAAUGUGGGUGUUCCAAAUAGAGAGGCUUCAGUUGCUCACAAAAUCCCUUUGAAGAGCAACUCCAUACCAGUGAGGUGUUUAUAGCAGGUAGGUGCAGUUUACAACCAGGGAAGUUGAGAAUGGGAAUUUCAGGAUGACUCAUUCUUGCUUGAUCCCACUUUGCACUGGGAUUAGAACAUAGCACAUAGAACAUAGAA